Molecule: non-coding RNA, 72 nt
Organism: Ictidomys tridecemlineatus (thirteen-lined ground squirrel)
Lineage: Eukaryota; Metazoa; Chordata; Mammalia; Rodentia; Sciuridae
Source: Rfam
GGGGUUGUGGCUCAGUGUUAGAGCACUCACCUAGCACGUGGGAGGCCCUGGGUUUGAUCCUCAGCAAUACAA